GAUCAUGGCUCAGGAUGAACGCUAGCUACAGGCUUAACACAUGCAAGUCGAGCGGAACACUUCGGGUGUUUAGCGGCAGACGGGUGAGUAACACGUAUCCAACCUUUCCCUUACUCGGGUAUAGCCUCGGGAAACUGAGAGUAAUCCCCGAUGUGGUGCACGGAAAGCAUUUUUUGCGCACGAAAGAUUAAUCGGUAAGGGUGGGGAUGCGUUCCAUUAGGUAGUAGGCGGGGUAACGGCCCACCUAGCCGAUGAUGGAUAGGGGUUCUGAGAGGAAGGUCCCCCACAUUGGAACUGCGACACGGUCCAAACUCCUACGGGAGGCAGCAGUGAGGAAUAUUGGUCAAUGGGCGAGAGCCUGAACCAGCCAAGUAGCGUGCAGGAUGACGGCCCUAUGGGUUGUAAACUGCUUUUGUGCGGGAAUAACGGUCGCCACGUGUGGUGAUGUGCAUGUACCGUACGAAUAAGGAUCGGCUAACUCCGUGCCAGCAGCUGC
RNAcentral lists this ribosomal RNA (496 nucleotides) under uncultured bacterium. RNAcentral's name for it is "bacterial SSU rRNA". It matches the Rfam family "Bacterial small subunit ribosomal RNA", at positions 15 to 518 of the family's 1533-position model. The record is from RNAcentral.